UCUAAAUGCAGUAGUGUGCACCUGUAGUCCUGGGAGGCUGAGGCAGGAGGAUUGCUUGUGCCCAUGAGUUGUAGGAUAUAGUGCACAGACCAGGUGUCUGAACUAAGUUUGGUAUCAGUAUGUGACCUCCAGGAGCAGGUGACCGGCAGGAUGCCUGUGAGGGGGUAAGCCAGCCCAGGUCAGAAAUGGAGCAGAUCAAAACCCCCAUGCUGAUUGGUAAUGGGAAUAGCCACUGCAUUCCAGCCUGGGCAACAAAGCAAGACCCCAUCUCUU
This is a non-coding RNA of Otolemur garnettii (small-eared galago), 273 nucleotides long. Lineage: Eukaryota; Metazoa; Chordata; Mammalia; Primates; Galagidae. The record is from Rfam.